Molecule: unclassified non-coding RNA, 336 nt
Filed under: soil metagenome
Description: partial contains 5.8S ribosomal RNA, internal transcribed spacer 2, and large subunit ribosomal RNA
Rfam family: 5.8S ribosomal RNA (bases 1-120)
Source: RNAcentral
GAUGAAGAACGCAUCGAAAUGCGAUAAGUAAUGUGAAUUGCAGAAUUCAGUGAAUCAUCGAAUCUUUGAACGCACAUUGCGCCCGCCAGUAUUCUGGCGGGCAUGCCUGUUCGAGCGUCAUUUCAACCAUCAAGCCCCAGGCUUGUGUUGGGGACCUGCGGCUGCCGCAGGCCCUGAAAACCAGUGGCGGGCUCGCUGUCACACCGGGCGUAGUAGAUUUUAUCUCGCUCAGGGCGUGCUGCGGGUUCCGGCCGUUAAAAAGCCUUUUUUACCCAAGGUUGACCUCGGAUCAGGUAGGAAGACCCGCUGAACUUAAGCAUAUCAAUAAGCGGAGGA